RNAcentral lists this unclassified non-coding RNA (100 nucleotides) under Dyadobacter sp. SG02. Lineage: Bacteria; Pseudomonadati; Bacteroidota; Cytophagia; Cytophagales; Spirosomataceae. The record is from RNAcentral.
GAGAGCCGGAUGCGUAACGAAAGACGCAUGUCGGGUUCGGCGAGAAGGCAAGCGAAACCAAUGAUUGAGAGAUCAAACUGGCGCGCUUGCCUUACUCUAC